Molecule: ribosomal RNA, 117 nt
Filed under: Pteropus alecto (black flying fox)
Lineage: Eukaryota; Metazoa; Chordata; Mammalia; Chiroptera; Pteropodidae
Source: RNAcentral
GUCUACAUCCAUGCUACUCCGAAUAGCCGGAUCUGUCUGACUUCGGAAGCUAAGUAGGGUCUGGCCUGGUUAGUACUUCGAUGGGAGACCACCUAGGAAGACUAGGUGUUGUAGGCU